RNAcentral lists this ribosomal RNA (305 nucleotides) under uncultured Actinomycetes bacterium. RNAcentral describes it as "bacterial SSU rRNA". It matches the Rfam family "Bacterial small subunit ribosomal RNA", at positions 324 to 641 of the family's 1533-position model. Lineage: Bacteria; Bacillati; Actinomycetota; Actinomycetes. The record is from RNAcentral.
AUACGGCCCAGACUCCUACGGGAGGCAGCAGUGGGGAAUAUUGCACAAUGGGCGCAAGCCUGAUGCAGCGACGCCGCGUGGGGGAUGACGGCCUUCGGGUUGUAAACCUCUUUCAGUAGGGACGAAGCGCAAGUGACGGUACCUACAGAAGAAGCACCGGCCAACUACGUGCCAGCAGCCGCGGUAAUACGUAGGGUGCGAGCGUUGUCCGGAAUUACUGGGCGUAAAGAGCUCGUAGGUGGUUUGUCGCGUUGUUCGUGAAAUCUCACGGCUUAACUGUGAGCGUGCGGGCGAUACGGGCAGAC